RNAcentral lists this small RNA (3398 nucleotides) under Pongo abelii (Sumatran orangutan). Its description in RNAcentral is "retained intron". The record is from RNAcentral. Lineage: Eukaryota; Metazoa; Chordata; Mammalia; Primates; Hominidae.
GUUUCCGUGGGUCAGGCACAGGGCUCUGGGUCACUGCUGUCGUGGACACUGAUGGACUCGUGUUAGACCUCAGCAGAUUCUCUCUACCUCCCACCAUGUUCUCCGUGUUCUCCCCCCCUCAUCUCUCCGUGACACCGAAGAGAGACCUGGGUUCACGCCCACCAGAGUGCCCACCUGGGAACACAACGCAUUUCCUCAGAGGGUCCCCGCAAGCGCGGGCGUGUCCUCGGUGGAGGGUCCGUGUGAGCAGGCGUGUCCUCAGCAAAGGGUCCCCACGAGCGCAGGCGUGUCCUCGGCAGAGGAUCCCCACAAGCCACCUGUUCUCCGUGGCAGCUGACAGGCAGGAGGCUGCAUCCAGAGAUGCCACUCUUCCUUCUUGGGGCCAUGCGCUGUUGGCCUUGGAACACCUGCUGCUCCAGCUCUUGGGCCCAGGAUUCCACCACCUCAAGCUCCUCUUCCUGUGCCGGCCUUGGGGACCCCCCUCUGGCCUCGCCUCCGCUCCCAGCCACCGGCCGGGUCAUCUGUGGGCCGCACAGCCUUGUGAGGACUCUGCCGGUGGGGGCGAGCACAGAUGGGCUGUGAGAAGAUUGAUUUCCCUCUGAGGAGAUGGCUCAGUGACGCUAGAAGAAAAACGAGGAAGACAAGGUCCCCCAGGAGCGCUCAGGCCGUGUUCUCUACGCAGAACUGCGUUUUCACAACAAAACAGCCGACCAGAUGUAGGGUGAGAGAUGCACCAGAGCAGCUGAACGGGGCACAGCUGGGGAUGCCUCCGCACGGAGCAGGGCCCCGAAGCUUUCUUAGAAACAGGAUCUGACGCCCAGAUCUGUGCUCCCUGGAGCCCUACUUCCCUGAGGCUAGAGUUCCCCAGAGCCCACAUCAGGAUGAUCCAAGGGGGCUUUGGAAAUAUGCUCAGGCGGGGCCCACCCUGACCAACGCAGGCAGGCGCUCAGGGCUGGGUGCUGCUCGAAGCUCCUGAUGGCUCUGGUGUGGCCGAGCGUCAGAACAGGCACUGGCUCAGGCUGUGCCCCAGGUCGCUUUGGUCCCAUCUGCCAGUCAGGCUGACCACAGGGACGGGCCAGAAAGGCCCGAGCUUUUCCCACCCGGAACGGAUGGCAGGACAUUCCAGUUUCACCUGUGGCGUCUCCUCCGGAGCAUCCCCAAAAGUGGGCCCAAAGGUCAGACCUCAGCGCCCAGCCCUGCGCCCUCCCUGUCACAGGAGCUCAGGGGCUCCCAGCCACCCCGCCCCAGACCAGCCCUGGUCACACAGGACAGAGGGCAUGGGGGUCUGGACCGGCUGAGGGGAGCUGGUGGCAGAGAUGGCUGACCCCAGCCAGGGCGAGGCGGGGCUGUUUUUGACACGGGUUUGGUAACCUUCUAGACAGUGGAGAAUAUUUCUUAACUACUUUGGGGCUCAGAACCAGGAAGGCUAUUUUUCCAAAUUCACCCAGGGAAAGCCAUGAAUGCACAGUUCAUAAAACACCGUCAUCACCCAUAAAACUGACGUGGCUGCCCCCGCGAGGCCCUUCAUUAGACAUCCGUGUCCCCGCCCUCAACCUUCCUCCUGAGUUACGGGGAUAAAGGCUGGGCUUUGAUGCAUCAAAUCUGGCUGACGGAGCCGUCUGAGGAGGCCACGCCCGGGUCCUGCCGGCCCAGUGUCCACCGGCUCAGCCGCAGACCAUCACCCGUGCAGGGCGACCGGCCAUGCAAGCCGCCACUGUCUCCCUGACGCCUCUGCGGCAACGGCAGGGGUGAGGUUUGGCAGCACACCUGUGACAUCACCCGACGGAGCUGCAGGGACAGCGGCUCAAUCUCCAGUUUCGUCACCUAACGAUCACUGGCCUGCAGUGGUGUCCAGAAGCGGGUCCCUCUGAGUCCCUCCUGCCGUGGGUUUGUCUUUCCCACCGCAGGUUUACUCACUGCUGCUGCUGAGUCUUUCCCUGGAGCUCUCCCAGCCGUGCUGCUCAGCCAGCCCUGAAUGCAGCCCCUCCCCUCUCCUACUGUUCCUCUCUGUGGCACAGGGUCCUGUGCCUGUGUCUCGCUUCCUUGCAUUUCGUAUUUUGGAGUGGGGGCGUUACUGGUGGCCCCCCCCAUGGCCCCUCUUUUCCGUGUCACCCAUCGGCUGAGGGGCGUCCCCAGUACCCACUCUCCAAGCACAGCCUCCUCUGUUUGGACGCACCAGCCCUCCCCCGGCAUGACCCUAGCAGGCGCCCUCUGCAGGUGAGGAGUUCCAGGAGGGCACAGGGUCUGGUGGUCUGGGCCAGCCCCAGCCUUGCAAUCACUAAAGCAAGGGACAGAACCUGCACAGAAACCUGCAGUCACAGGAGGAACGUUCUGGAAGCACCUGCCAGAAGGCACCUCUGAGGCGUCUGCUGUCCCCUCCAUGAAGGCACAGUUGGGUUUCAGUUGUGAUGCUGGGGCUGGGGGACAGCAAGGGCAGAGCUGGAUGCAGGGCCCCCCCCCCCCGCUCUGGGAAGAGAGGUGCCAGCUCCUCUGCUCCAGGAAGAGAGGCGCCAGCCACCCGGGGGCCCUGUGCGAGGCUCAGCUGUGGCAUCUCCACAGGGCGUCCUCAUCAUCAGCGGGAACCUCGGCUUCCUGAACUGGCUGACCAUGGUGCCCAGCCUGGCCUGCUUCGAUGACGCCACCCUGGGAUUCUUGUUCCCCUCUGGGCCGGGCAGCCUGAAGGACCAAGUUCUGCAGAUGCAGAGGGAAAUCCGAGGUGCCCGGUCCAAACCCAGAUUCGGCUCCGUGGUGCGGCGUGCAGCCAACGUCUCACUGGGCGUCCUACUGGCCUGGCUCAGCGUGCCCGUGGUCCUCAACUUGCUGAGCUCCAGGCAGGUCAUGAACACCCACUUCAACUCUCUUCACAUCGUCAACGCUUACGGGACCUUCAGAAGCAUCACCAGGGAGCGGAUCGAGGUGAUCCUGCAGGGCACAGCCAGUGCCAACGCCAGCGCCCCCGAUGCCGUGUGGGAGGACUACGAGUUCAAGUGCAAGCCAGGUGACCCCAGCAGACGGCCCUGCCUCAUGUCCCCAUACCACUACCGCCUGGACUGGCUGAUGUGUUUUGCGGCCUUCCAGACCUACGAGCAGAACGACUGGAUCCUCCACCUGGCUGGCAAGCUCCUGGCCAGCGACCCCGAGGCCUUGUCCCUGCUGGCACACAACCCCUUCGCGGGCAGGCCCCCGCCCAGGUGGGUCCGAGGAGAGCACUACAGGUACAAGUUCAGCCGUCCUGGGGGCAGGCAUGCUGCCGAGGGCAAGUGGUGGGUGCGGAAGAGGAUUGGAGCCUACUUCCCUCCCAUCAGCCUGGAGGAGCUGUGGCCCUACUUCAGGGACCGUGGGUGGCCUCUGCCCCUGCCCCUCUAGAUGUGCACCAGAAAUAAAGGUGAAAACCCAGC